CUUGCCCAAGAUUAGAAUCCAGGCCUUUCUGCCUCCCAGGCCUUGCUCUAUCCACUAGACCACACUGCUCUCAUUUUACAGAGAAGGAAACUGAGGCCCAGAGACGUUGACUCACCGAAGGUUACACAGCAGGCAAAUGGCUUUGAGCCCCAACAGUACCACCAGACACUAUCGGGCAGGGGCAGAAGUCCAGCUUGCCCCACUGCGAUGGCCACCGGCCCCCUCCCCACAGGCCCGGCCCCGAACCCAUCUCGUUCCAGUUUGGGAAGAGGAAAGGAAGGGAACGGGAAGUAUCUGGUCGCUGGGGACAGGAAGCUCAUAUUUCCCAAGGACAAGAAGUUAGUCCCUGGGGACAGGAAGUUCAUAUUCUCCACGAACAAGAAGUAAUGUUUCUGUCUCCCCCGAUCAGACUGUAAGCCCGUCAAAGGGCAGGCGCUGUCUCUAUCUGUUGCCGAUUCGUACAUUCCAAGCGCUUAGUACAGUGCUCUGCACAUAGUAAGCGCUCAAUAAAUACUAUUGAAUGAAUGAAUGAAUCUCAAGACAGGAAGUGGGUUUUCCCUGAGGACAGGAAGAGUGAUA
RNAcentral lists this long non-coding RNA (579 nucleotides) under Ornithorhynchus anatinus (platypus). RNAcentral's name for it is "lncRNA (ENSOANG00000038505.1)". Lineage: Eukaryota; Metazoa; Chordata; Mammalia; Monotremata; Ornithorhynchidae. The record is from RNAcentral.